This is an RNA transcript of Theobroma cacao (cacao), 3389 nucleotides long. It is a transcript of the gene named Zinc finger C-x8-C-x5-C-x3-H type family protein, with no coding region annotated. Lineage: Eukaryota; Viridiplantae; Streptophyta; Magnoliopsida; Malvales; Malvaceae. The record is from RefSeq and is a predicted model, not a curated record.
AAUAAAAAUCACACUCUUUGAGUGCGCAGCUCAGCAUCGCAUCAUCACCUUUGUCUCCCUCCCUUUCUUCCUUUUACGACCCCGUUAAAAAUACCCAGCCCAGCCCCAAUGCCUCUGUCAACAUCCGCCGUUGUUGCACGCGCCGAGAAGGACGAUGAAAGACGCGCCACCUCGACCACCGAGCGAGAAAUCAACAGCUCCGAUAUGGAAAUCGACGACAACGACGACGAUGAAGAAGAAGGGGAUUUGCAAGGGUCUUCGAAUCGAAACGAUGCUAGUAAUAUUAUGGAGUCCAAGGGGCAUAAUGGAUGCCUAGAAUCAGGUUCUUUUAGUCCUGGAAAGUCUGAAACAAGGGUACCAUCUAAAAGCCUUGCCUUUUCAAGUCUUCUAAAUGAGCCAUUGAAGACUCAAAAGGAGGAUAUAUGCGCGAACUAUGAGGAUUCCAAGUAUCCAAUAUCUGGAAAACAGCCUGCAAAAGAAAAGGCAACUCAACAGGAUGUGGUUAGUGAAAAAGAUGCUCGAGUCAUCUUACAAAGAAAAGCCCCUGAAGACCACUGUGAACAGCAAAGUAAUAGCAAGAGUCAUUCGGUUAUCAGUGAGAUACAUUCCAGUGUUGCUGGCAAAGAGGUAGUCAUUACAAUCCCGGUCAGAUAUCACUCAGGAGGAGUUAAUGAUGUUAAAGGUUUUAAGGAAAAAAGUAAGCAAAUGAACUUGCAAUCAGAUGAUGAUAAGAGGAGGAUUAAAUCAAGGUUUUACAGAUCCGCUGCUCCUCAGACUAGUACUGGAAGUCUGUCCCCUGGUGCUGAGUUGGAUAGUGGGAGCAAACGCCCUGCACUUAUCUGUGACUUUUUUGCUAGAGGGUGGUGUAUCAAAGGAAGUUCAUGUAGAUUUCUUCACAUAAAAGAUAGUGGGAAUAAUCCUAGACAACAGCCUGAGGUAGAUGUAGCUACAGCAGAUGCGAAAGGAGCUGUUCAGCUUGAUGAAGGUUUUGAUAAUGCUGCUGAAAGAUCCAGCUCACCUGGUUCUACUGAUACACUGCCUUCAUCAGUUAAAAAUAAGACUGCAUUGUCUUCUCAUUUCUUUUCAGAAAGAGUCCUGCCAUCCGGACAUGAUGAAAACCAAAGGUUGCAUCCAUUUCAUGAAAUUAAUAAGUUCCCUUUACUCCAGAGUAAGGAUAAAUUAAUGGGCACUUCCCCUGCCUCUCAGCAAUUUUCUGCAUCCAUAGAUGAUUUGGGACCAUCUAAGGAUGUAAGACAAAAUAGUAUAGGUCAGAAUUUGCCUGCUGAUAGUUAUACCAAGCCUGCUUCACUGAGUGACAGAGGUAGUUCUACCUUCAGAAAUAGUUUUCUUCCUGAGUAUAGAUCUUCAUUAAGUGGCUCAGUUACAUCAUUGGGCAAUACAUAUAGUGAAAAUCGAUCUUAUCGUGUCUCAACAUGGAUGGGAUCAUUUCCUUUUGGUUCUUCUUUGAGUGCAUGCUCUUUGGGUGCUCAAAAGGUGCUGGACGGUGACAGAGAGCAUCAUACUUCCAGACUGUCUUCUUUGCUGCAAAGCUCUUCUCCCUUCUCCAGGUCUGAACCAGACAACUUUCCUCUGAAUGAUAUUGCCAGGGAUCCGUUGCACGUUACUGAUUUUAGAAUAAAAAUUUCUUCAGAUGAUUGGGAACCAUCAGUACCUUUUCGACCAUCCUUUUUUGUCACUUCUAGCAUAUCACCCCCACGAGGCCAGUACAAUCCUCUUUGUGAUAGCAUUGAUAUGUCCAAUGCAGGAAAGAGGUCUCUUAAAUUUUCUUUCUCUAGUCAAGGUCCAUCCCUCCUGAAUGUAGCAUAUCCACCAACAUAUGGUGAUUCUACAUCAACAGGGCCAGUGGUCACUGAAUGUAAUGGUGAUAAAAAAAUUGCAUCUUGUCAUAAUAGAUACCCUGAAAGUUUGUUCAACAACAAUUGCCACAACUCUGGAAAAGAUUCGCUCACAACUGAUGCAAAUGAUGGGACUUCUGCAGCUGACAUGCAAAAUGGAACACUGGUUAAAGAAGAGAUUUCCUCAGUUGCCUCUCAUGUCAAAGACAUUUCAAAGGCAAAUAAAAUUGAUACUGAUCUUGAUGGUAGACAUCAAAGAGAUGGGUCUAGAUGCAAAAAAGACUUAAAAGUAGACAGGGUUAGAGAAAAGAAUGAAAUAGAGGUUGAGCAUAAGGCAGAUGGGGAUCCACAGAAAGAGUCAAAAGCAAUGAAGCAUUUCCGUGCUGCUCUUGUAGAUUUAAUUAAAGAACUGUUGAAACCAACUUGGCGUGAGGGUCAUCUCAAUAGAGAUGCUCAUAACACAAUAGUCAAAAAAGCAGUUGACAAGGUUCUUGGCACUGUACAACCUCAUCAAAUUCCAAUCACCUUUGAAUCAGUUAAGCAGUAUCUUUCUUCAUCCCAACCAAAAAUAGCAAAGCUUGUUCAGGGAUAUGUUGAUAAAUACAGCAAAUCUUGAGAUGCUAGGCAGAAUGCUUAUGUAUUUGUACAUAAAUACGAUUUCUGUUUUUACUGAUGAUAUGUGCAUAUUGCUUCUCUACAUUGUUGCCACACUUGUAGAAGGAGAUCUACUGAGAUAGUGGCAGGAGAUGACUAUCAGAGAUUACCAUGUCAGGAUGGGAAUUUUUCAAGUUGUGAGGACUUGUACCCGAAACAAACUCAAACUCUUGGUCAUCUUUGUUGUUCUGGUACGCUCUGUUGGGAGGAGACUUAGAUUGCUGAUCUUGAAUACAAACAAGGCCAGAAAAGGAGAGAGAGUUAAGCGAACUGCUAUCAGCUGCAACAUCCAUGGAAAUCUUGUUUUGCAUGUGGGUUCCCAUUGAUUUUGUUGUCAAUACGUCUCAGGGUGUCCAAAGCUUAUAUACACAGGAUUAGCAGUUCUGAUAAAAGCAGACAAAGUGUGCAUUGUUUCAUCAGUUAAAACUUGAGGGAAUCGAUCGGCUGCGAAGGGUAAGGCAAUACGAUCUUUCUAAGGCAGGGUACUGCAUCCAUACAUGCGAGUGCAGCCUCUGUUAUAUUUUGUUGGGUGGAUUUACCAAUGAAGCAGGUGAAGUAAAAUAAUGAACCUAUGUCUCUUGUUCUUAGAUCUUAAUGAAUUGUAAACGAUUCUGUUCUGAUGUUUUUUGAUUGGGAGACAUUCUUUCGCUGCUGGUACCAACGAGGAAAACAUAUCGAUUGCUUUCAAAUGACGACCUUCGAAAUGAUAAAAGAGCGGUGAGCUGUUUUUGUUUAUUAAUAUAUGCCAAACGUCAUUGUCUUAAUGACCUAUGCCAUAUGUGAUUGGUUGCUUUUCCAACCAUGGUUGGAUUCUCCAACAGAUUGAGAAAUGAUAAAUUCGAUCCGAACAGGCGGAAACCCUGUUCUAUUUUGAUGGCA